UUACGUCCAUAUCACGUUGAAACAUCGGUUCUCGUACGAUCACCGAAGUUAAGCAACGGCAAACCUGGUUAGUACCUAGACGGGUGACCAAUUGGGAAUACCAGAUGUUGUAAG
Molecule: non-coding RNA, 114 nt
Organism: Acanthosepion pharaonis
Lineage: Eukaryota; Metazoa; Mollusca; Cephalopoda; Sepiida; Sepiidae
Source: the annotation of a GenBank genome assembly